AGAGAGAUACGAAGCGCGCGCGCGCGCGCGCGCACGAAAGGAAGAAAGAAUGAGAAGCCGGGGGACGGGGACGCUCGCGAACCGGUUGCUCGCGAGUCAAAAAGGUGCGACCGGGUCAGGCCAAGCUCGAAUACACGCGGCAUUUUCGUGUGUAGUACUGCCGCGCGUUGUGAACGCGCCACGAUAAACCCGGGAUAAGGUGAAGAGAAGCGAAGCGAAGAGAAGAGAGUACACAAUUUCGUACAAUUGUCUGAAUCGCUGUAAAUAUCGGAUGAAGUACGGAGACGCAAGCGUUUGUUAUGACAUCGACUCUACUUUGUCUUGGGUACAUAUGAGUGCAUUUGUUUGUGUUUCACGCCACGUGCCUCGAUCCACAUCAUUUGCAUGUUACCCCACUCUUGUUUGCGUGUUCCAAUACCGUUUUGGAGAUACCUACGCACACAAAGAGCCGGCGGGAAUUCGCUCUAGUACUCUACUGUUUAGGGUUAAGCUCGGUUUGAUUCUACCCUACGGGAUGCGCGCGUCCACGCGCUCUCUAUUGAUUCCAUGACCCGAAGCGGCGAGCCAAUUUGUCGAAGGGAAGCGCGCUUUUCUUAGGUGGAACAUCUCGCCCGAGAAAAGAGAAGGGAUUCUUUUCUCCCGCCUGUGAGAACAACGCCCGCAAGAACAUUCUUCGUGCCUUUCGUCGAGUUCACCUGAGCACAAUUGGGAAAUCAGUCUCGAAAUCUUCGAAUCAUACAUUAUUCAUCGAACAUUCGUGAGACCUUCUCUCGACGAAGCUUUUCAGUUAUUUCGGUUCCUACGGAUGAAUCACAUGACGCUUUUCACCGCUUUGACCGAUGCGCCCGGCCGCACAAUCGAUAGUCCAUUCUCUCGCGAUGUACAUUAAUGUAUAAUAAUCCAUGACACGACGGAGUUCAUCUUUUCAAACCCGAUAACACGCCUGCCCUCAAGAACUUAAUGUACCGUUUCAAUAUGCAGAUUAUUUAAUGGGUUUCUUUACGCUUCGCGCGCGCGCGCGCGCCUCCGUGCCGCGGACUUUGCGUCGCGAAAACGCAAUACUCCACAUAUCCUUGGGGCGGUAUUUAUUCGGGGCGCUAUUAAUAAGCGUAUUCGUAUGUAGGCCCCACUGGAAAUACAUCGUCGACCGUCGCCAGUGUAUUUCCAUUUCUAAUUCUGAUCCCUCCCCUCCCCAUGCUCCCUCUCACUCUCUCUGCCUCUCUCUUUCUUUCUGGCUCUCCUUGUUUCUCUUUCCUCCUCUUCUUCUUUUGUCUUUCUUCGCCCAUGCGUGCGUGCGUGCGUGCGUGCGUGUGUGUGUAUGUCGCGAGAGCAUAAGCACGAGUUACCGCGUCUUGGGAACCUAGACCCAAAAGUGCACGGUGAAGUGCACCUUAAUAAGAGCGACACCGGCGCGAGGUGGAAUUCAGUCCAGCGAAAUGAAAAUUUAGAUGCGCGCCGCUAUCUUUAGCAGUCGACCGACACAGCAGUGGCAAAAGUGUUGCCACCGGCGAAUAUAGGUUACUGUCGUCGGAAUAGAUCGCGGUCGGGGCACGGAGCGCGUCCGCCGCCGGUACACGGUGAAAACGCGGGCUCGUCGGCCCUUAUCGGCUACCUAGUUUUCGAGACGGGCGCCUCGUGGAAUGGUGUUGUAUCGAACGUACGCAUGAUAAUUCUCGUUAUGAUCGACAAGGCAAAUAUCCCUAAUUUAUCGCGACCGGCGCUUACGUAAAGACCCCGAAAGAGGAAGGAAGGGAGACGCGAUCGCCGCGAAUUUCAGCCUCGACGGAAGCGCGUGGGAGACAGCCAAAGAGGGAGAGAGAGAGAGAGAAAAGAGAGUAAGCGAGCGAGCGAGCAAGAGAGAGAGAGAGAGAGCGAAAAGGAGGGUGGAACAAAGAAAGUGAGAGAGGGGAAAGGGAGAGAAAGGAAACGUGCGCACGAGGCAGUCAGGCAGAGCGAGAGUGAGAGAGAGAGAGAGAGAGACUAUUCCCUAUUCUUCUCUCGCUGCAAGCGCACGCGUAUAUGUCGGACGUUUGCUUUCCCCUGUGAAAGUUCCGUCGAAAACGGUCCGCGUGCGGAUCUGGAGGUACACCCGGGGACCGAAGUCGGUUUCGUCGAAAGAUGCUCGGAAGGAGGCAUCUGGCCGCCUGGCCGCCUCACCUGCGCACGGUGCACGGCAGCUGCCGCUCGCCCGCUCCGGUUAUCUUCGUGCUUACGUGGACUGCCGGCACGUGUGCCAGAACAAAAAAUUUAUUUACGGAACAGGCGGGCGGGCGGGCACGUUGCUGCAAGCGUGGCACGGCCAAAAACUUGCGCCCGCGCGACCACGAUUAAUAAUAAUUUAUUUCGCCGAACGUAUGUCCCCUUAGGUCUCCCGAGAGGUUUCUGUUGGAAAAGUACAUUAUUUUUGGAAUGCACGGUCCUAAUAUCUUUGGCAUUGCGUUUUUCUUACGAAAAAGUGUCGAGAAUCUUUAACUUUAUUCUCCGACAUGAACUCUGUAUUGCAUUAUCGUUCGACGAAAUGUUCUAUUAUUGAAUUUUAUUUGUGAUUGCAUUCUUAAUUGGUGAUGAUAGAAGUUAUCUCCCUCCGGGAUUUGCAGAAGAAAACCAUUUUUGUGCGCAUUAGCAAUGUAAUGAGUUUUAUAUUUUUAUUGGUUUAUUUAAAGAGAAGUUGAAAUGAAAUCUCUGAACGACCGCCAGUCUCGUUUUAUCGAUGUAACAUCAAAACAAAUACACAAAGAUAUUUUUAUGUGUGCGCAUAAA
This 2760-nucleotide long non-coding RNA is filed under the name Monomorium pharaonis (pharaoh ant). Its description in RNAcentral is "uncharacterized LOC114253922". Lineage: Eukaryota; Metazoa; Arthropoda; Insecta; Hymenoptera; Formicidae. The record is from RNAcentral.